Cannabis sativa is the source of this 796-nucleotide long non-coding RNA. RefSeq lists it as uncharacterized. The record is from RefSeq and is a predicted model, not a curated record. NCBI's taxonomy places the organism in Eukaryota, Viridiplantae, Streptophyta, Magnoliopsida, Rosales, Cannabaceae. The transcript has 2 exons.
AAAACCUAGCAGAUAGUCGCGCGCGAGAGGUUUACCCCUUCUUCCCCGGGGAUGCACUACCACCCCAAACCCCUAAUUCAACUUCUACAUCUCAUUUCGCCAAAAAUCUAAACCCAACUCUCCUCUCUCUUUCUCCACCCCAAACCCUAAUAACAUCGAUCAAGCCUCUCGCUCUCUCUCUCUCUCUCAACCAGCAACAUACUACCACCCAAACCUCGCUGCUAGAUCUAUGCCCCAAACCUCUCUUUUUGCCCCCAAACCCUGUUGCUCUCUCUCUGCCCUAAACCACGCUGCUCUCACAAUAUAUUUAUUGUUCUAGCAUUGAUUCACUACUCCCACCACCAUCGAUUUAGAUUCAUUGAGAGGACUUCAUCAACAAAUUUCUCAUCGGUCAUUGUUGUCAUCUCCUCCAUCGAAGUCUAUCUUUCAUAAAAAUUUUCAAGGUCUAUUUUCCUUUGAUUAUUAUUAUUCUUUAUUUUGAAAGAAGGUAUUCCUUUGAUUCUAAAAUGGCAAUAAUUGAUGAGUCGUCGAAUUGGUUCCUCUUAUAAACUUAGGGAAAGAUAAGGUGUCCACAUUUAAACCCUGUUGUAACGGAGGAAAGAUGAUGAAUCACCAAUUUUUUUAUUUUUUUGGUGUUUGGAAGUGUUCUAUCAAUGUAUGAUCUGAACUCGUAUUAAUAUCAUUUUACCGAUAAUUCAUUUUAUAUUAAACGAGUGGGACCGAUCAUGGUUAUAAGAGCUUUGUCUUUCCUAGCUUUUCCUUUAUAUAAGUUAAAUUACAUGGAGGUUUCUAGUUA